RNAcentral lists this long non-coding RNA (3837 nucleotides) under Sarcophilus harrisii (Tasmanian devil). RNAcentral's name for it is "lncRNA (ENSSHAG00000021216.1)". The record is from RNAcentral. Lineage: Eukaryota; Metazoa; Chordata; Mammalia; Dasyuromorphia; Dasyuridae.
GUCAAUAACAUUGUAAAUAUAGUACCAGUGUUUGUUUGCAUGAGAUAGUUUUGAGGCAAUUAGAAGUAUAGUUCUAUCUUCUCCCCUUUCCCUUUAUAAAGUUCAAGUUGGUUGCAGCAAUAUGACAUCUUGCUGUACGACACCUAUCAUCUUAUUAGUUCAGACAGGAACUAUGUCAUUUAUUUUUUGUAUCUCCAUUGUUUUCAAUUCGAUUAUUUCAUCAUUCAAUAAAUGUUUAUUGCAGUUGUAGGAGGUAGUUCAUUUCUAACUUCAUGUAAAACUGAUUUUUGGAAAUUUGUUUAUUUCCUAGUUUGAGCUUUCUUUAAUUGAGGCCAGUUUCUUGAACCCUAUGCUGGAUUAUUGUUUAUUUUAAUUUUUAAGGAGCUGAAGAGACAUAAUUACAUUUUUAAAAAAUUCAGUAAUUUCUGUUGACAGAGUGAUUAGAGUACAAAAAUCUAAAGAGAUUAUGAAAUGGAAUGGUUUAGCAUUUUUUUUCCUCUUUUUUUCUUUUUUUUUCAUUUAGUCAGGAAGAUGGUUCUUAGAAUGAAGGGGAAGUAAAUAUGAUACCUGCUCCCCAAUCUUAACCCUUUCCAAUCUGUAAAGCUCAUAUUGCCCUUUAUAAUUGGCCUACUGAGAAACAACUUUAGAAAGAAUAAUCACUUAGUAGCAUGACUUAGUAAUAUCACAUGGAUCCAAGUCACUUCAUUAUAUCUCAGUGCUCUGUACUUUUGGGAAUUGACAAUAAAAUGUUAACUUUAACAUAUGUCAGACCAUACAAUUAACUGUUUUUGAGACUGAUAGAAUAAUUUCUCUUUCCCUUUAAACAUAUUAAUGAAAAACAAAUAUUACAAUUCACUGAGACACCAGCCAAAGCUGGUUAUGAAAGCUAUAGAAAAGAGAAUCACAAAUUGGCUCUAGAGAUAAUAAAUGUCCAUUUAGAUAAAACAGAUCUAGUUAGUUUACUUUAUAACCUAAUUUCCAGGUGAAAAACAUUUGAGGGAUGGCUGCCUUCUCAAAAUUAAGCAAUGAUUUAACAGAACUGAUGGGAAGAGAAUUUCUUAGCCUUAGAUAUCCAUCGGGUUGUCAAAUUCUCACUUGAAACGUAAUUAACCAAACAAAUAAACAAAAUUGUCGCCUGCUUGUUGAAAUGCAAAGACCUACAUCUUUUUUUUUUAAAUACCAAUUCUGUAUUCCUUCAGAGAUUCAGAAAAAAUCUUUAAAUACAAACAAAUCAAGUAAUUGUUUAUUUUUCUUAUUUCUUUAUUGUGAUGAUUCGAUAGUACAAGAGGGAAAGAUGUUAGUUUUAAAAUGGGUUUUUAACAACAAAAUCCUUAACAAUAAAAAUCCAUGGUCAGAUCCUGAAUUUAAAACAAAACAAAACAAAACCAAUAUACUUAAUGCCCAUUACAAAUCAAGAUCUGAAAUCUAUGUAUUCUAAUAUGGGGUGAAUAGGAAGAAACAGGACUGUGUAUUUAUUAAAACUUGUUAGCAUCCAGUGUCCAGAACGGACCUACAGGAAAACUGCACUAAUAGUUUUAUUAAUUAAAGGAUCAACUUAACUAUUUGCUUCCAGGCAAUUUCAAGUUGUUGAUGUUUUAAUGAAAUAAAAGUUAAUCGAGUUGGUUUUUUCCUGUUAAGUCAGUGGGAGGCUUGUACCUAUUUUCGGUAAUCUAAGAAAACUGUUGCUUGAAGGGAGGGCAUUAUCUGGAUAUAUACCAAAGUCAAAUGCUAGUUAGGCUAACUUGAAAAACUGGCGAAAGUGGAAGGCUCUUCGUUUCCAUUCCUAAAAGGAUGAAUAGCGACAAUCGGGGGAAAAAAUAAAACAAACAAAAAAGAAAUUACACUUAAAAACCCACGAAAUUCCCUGAAAAAUAACAAGCUAGCCUCAAUAGAAGGUAAACAUCGUCUUGGACCAGCAUUUCCAACAAGAUUUGGAUUUUUGAACGUAGUAAUCUAGUUUGCUCACCCCCAGAGCUCUGCAGAGGGUGAAGCGAGCCCAAACGCUGCCUAACCCACUGUGUUCACAAGUAGCAUUCUGUGAUUCAUCAGUCUUCACUAAGGGAUCUUCCACGAACCCGAAGGAUUUCUCUUUCCGAUCCUAGUACUCACACUCCUUUCCGAGAGUCUGUCCGAAGCUAGAAAAAAGUAGACACAAAGGAGGGGGAAAAACCCCACCCCUUUACAUCCCCUCUCGUAACAUAAAUGCCCGGGAACAGCUUAUUGGAGAUGAGGAAAGGAUUGCUUUCUUCGAAGCAAAAAGCUUCAUAUUUUUUGUGAGACACGAACAAUCCCGACAUUUAGUGAUGGAAGGAAAAGGACAAGAAAUAGUCGGCUAGAUCUACACUUGCAGAGCAGAGAGGGAUAGAGAGGGAAAAGGGUCAAGAGAGUAAGGAGACAGAAAGAAGAGAUCUAGCUACACGCUUUAUUUUAAUCCACCUUCUUGCAAGUGGGAAAUCUACCUGGUAAAGAUCCACCCGAAUUCAAAAAAACAAGCAUCUUUUACUAUUUCUUCAUUCAUCACGUCCCCAUAACUGUGUUUGGAGGGAGUCUCCACCCUUCUCAUCCCUUUAUACCCCCAGCAAAGAGAGUCCUUUUACACCUCCUUCCACCUUCGCGCUCUUUUCUUGUUGCAGGUGGCUCCGAAGAGCCGGGAUUGGAGAAGGGAUGAGAAAGAUGUUGGUAGAACUAUCUGUGGGGCGGUGGUGACGGAGUGACAGACUAGGGAGGGAAAGGGGGGAGUCUCUUCACUUGGAGAACUGUGUCUGUACCGCAGCUAGCCCGAGGCCUGAAGGAAUUAAAUGCGGGAACUUGCAGAUGGUACAAGUGCAGAGACCCGGGCUGCCAGGAAGAGGAAACUGACCACACGGCGGCUCCUCCAGCGACAGGUACUUGCUGGAGUGUAGAGUCUCCGGGUGAUUCACGCCCCCUGGGGCUAGCAGCACCGAUCCCGGGGCGGCGAACAGGGGCAAGCCGGCGAGAAGCAGUCGCGGCCCGGGCCCACUCAUUUCGCCCAGGAUCCGCCGCAGUUCUUGCAGGGAGCUGCCCAGAAGAAGGAUGUAGUUUCUGGCGAGGAGUAGCGUGGCGAUUUUGGAGAGCUUCCUCCCUGGGGAACUCUGGCAAUGGGCGGCAGAAUAGGGCAUUAUGACCUCCCUCAGAGCGUCCAUGGCCAGGUUGAGAUCUUGCAUCCUUUUCCUCUCCCGGCUGUUGAUUUUUCUCCUCAGCUGCUGCUGUUCUUCCUUCAAUUCCGUCUUGCCGCUGCUACUGCCGUUCUCGCCACAGCCGCUGCCACCCUUGACAUUUUUUCCCACGCCCUGCUGCAGCUGCUCCAGAGGCGGUUCCAGCUUCUCGUGCACUUGCUUGGGAAGGAAAGUAGCAGUAGCAGAGGACGAGGACAACUGCUGUCUAUAGCCCACCAAUUCAUAUGGGGAAGCCCCGAGCUGCACAUCCCCCGGCCGUUGUUGCCUCAACAUCUUAGGCAGAACUGCUUUCAAACGAGCCUAGAAACCUUCAUAGUAAAAAAGGGAGUAGAGGGGACGUAGGAGAGAGGGUGGUAACGUAUGCGUGUGUGCGUGUGGCUGUGUGUGUGUGUGUGUGUGUGUGUGUGUACUCUCGUUUUCGCUCGCGGGGGGAUUUUCCAAGCUGCUGGCAGAGGUGACAAGGAAUCCACACUUCAAAAGCUUCCGGAGUGUUUUGCGAACCUUCCCUGCUCCCAAGACCUGGUUACGGGAGCUGCUGUUUGAGGAUGCUGGGAGAAGGGCAUAGAGGGAAGAAGUGUACUGACCAGAGGUCCUUUAAAUCCAGCUCUUGAACUUGGGGAAAAGAAAAGAACCAACUGGG